UAAAAAGAAAAUGCUGAUAUGUUUAUCCUAAUAACUAAUAGUAACACAAAGCUUUGUCUUUAAUGUGUCAUUUUUUUAGCCUUUAUAUGAAACAAAAAAUAUAUUAAUACAUUUAUCAAUAUGCAGCUCUUGGUGGAAAAUGUUUAGACAUAACUGUAAUAUAUCAAUGAGAUAAUUGUAUGGAAACAACACAGCAUUUGAAUAUGAAUAGCUAAUAUAAUAAUUACUAGUAUGUUAUAACUCACCUAUUUAAGGAAAACCACAGUGCCUGAUAUCAUUUUAACCUGAAUUCAUCCAUUUCUUAUUAUAUAAUAAAGUAUUAUCUAGCAUGUGCUCUGUUUUUACUUAGUUAUACAUGUUUUCCUGUCAAUUUUUACUCUUGUAUUUGUUCUUUUCAUUACUGAAUAACAUCUAUUAACUCUACUAUACUCUUUUUCAGGCAUGUUGAAUUGUCCAGCUGCGAUUGUGACAUUACUGACUGUAACCUUAACUAUUCCCUCAUAUGUUGCAUGCCUAGGGUGCAUUUAUAGCAUAGCUGCAGCCAUCCAACCAGUAAAAUGGAUGACAUUUGGGUUUAUUGUAGCACACAUUCAUUUACUCUUACUCAUGGAUCAUUGUUGGACUCUUUUUGCAGUGUGCAGGAUGAGCACUUUUCAGCGCUGACAGCAGGCUGACGAUAAAUCCUCCCUGGUAGAUGCAUGGAGAGAUGCACGGACGUAAAUUGAAAAAACCUGUAUUGUGCAACUGGAGAAAUUGUGCAAAGUUUGUUGUGGACUUCCUUUCCAGGCUCCGCCCAUGGAUGACCAAAGAGCCUGUCCUGCUCUACUGAUCCAUCACACCACAACUGCCAGCAAUCACCUCAGCGUCACGCCUCCCAUCCUACCUGGCGCCGUAGUGCGACAAGUACAAAGAGAAAGAAGCAGAAGGAAGUGGAAGAUUUGUUGUGACUAUGUUCCUGCAGGCUGCCUUGCUGAUGUUCCACUCCUGUUUGGGUCUCUGUGGAGCCGCUGCUCAACACAUGGAGCUGGAAAGGAUAAAGACGUGUGGCAUCAAGUGUUCUCAGGACCUUCAGUGCAACACCAAGCCAGCAUAUUUUUUUGCUGAUUCAUGUCAGAUGCCCGCUGACGGACUUACCGUCUCCUCCGUGUUUCGCAACCUCAGCUUUUCCACAGUCAUGACAUGUGAAGGGCAUCAAAGGUGCUCGCUGCACCUCGGAAUCCACACGACGGUGCAACUUCCAGAGUCCAUCCACGGUUUGUCCGUUUGCUCUCAGACACCAGGAAUGCUGCGGAAGUGCCGAAUAGUCAGGAUGUCAAAGGCUUCCAGGCGGAUGACGUCCGGGAUGCAGGUGGAGCUUGAGGACAACUGCACUGACGUUUAUCCGCAGCAGCAAGUGAAAGUCACACUGACGACAGUGCCCAGCUACUGCGGAAUAACUCAAAGCGGAAACUACGUUGCUCCAGAUUGCUCAUGGAAGGAUUUGAGGAGACUUGUCCCUGAAUGCAUCACUGGGAGUUUAUCCUAUGACAUCAACGCAGAGAGAAAAGAGCUGCGCGUCACCGUGAGCGACAUGCUGGAUGAUGAAGACUAUCAGUUGCGACUGUGCCAUAAGGAUUUCAUCUGCGCUGGCACAGGGGCUAACGCAUUGAUCAUGAAGGAGGAAGUCAACAAGAGCGCCAUCCUCCCGUAUUUCAGACCGCUGCCGUGCCUCUGCAUCGAGGUAAAGCCAUCUGGAACACAGUUUCCACACAGGGAGUCGCCACUAAAAGGCUCGUUGAUACCCGCAGGGCUGGUCUGUGGUGACGGAUGCUCCCAGAGUGCAGGUCUGGAGGAGAUGUGGCAUGGGAUUCAUUUCGACACAUCGGCAGGGGUGCUUUCAUGGGAACCCGCCUGCCCGGUGACGGCCACCGUGGCACUGUGCCAGAGAGGAGGAGAGGAUGGUGUCUGCACGGACCUGCAGCAAGCCUCCCAAAAUGUCAGCAGAGGAAAGAUCACAUUUGCGCAAGUGGACCCUCACCCUCAGCUGUGCAUGAAGUUCCGUGCAGGCCAUCAGUCGUGGAUCAGGUGUCCUUUUGUCGGAAGAUUCCAAGCAUGGGAUGUGACUGUGAUGAGACAUGCGGAUCACAAAGAGGCAAAGCUGACGUCGCACAUGAACGCCACUUUCUCCGUGCACGCGUGUGCGCCGUCUGAAGGCCCUGCUGUGUGUCGCGCUACGGGGACACACGCUGUAAUUUACGUGGGGGCGCACGCGUCUGUUGGCUUGAACGUGACAGACACUCACUCGUGUUUUUACGUGAGGAGAACGGAUGUGACGUAUGCUCCCACAAUCCUUCACUGUUUGACAGAGGAACGCAGUGAGCCAGCGGCUCUUUUCGCCACUCCGGCCAAUCAGAUGUUGAUCGCGGUCAUCGUCCCGGUCGGCCUUUGGCUUACUGCUGUCAUCAUUGUCACCCUGGUGUUGCAUGUCAGACUCACUGACAGCGCUCCUGUUUGUGACGUCUCGCAACACAGAGACCGCCGUUCUGCGCUCUGACUGACCUUUCCCCUUUGGAAAUUGAUUUUAGAACAUCAGAGACCAAGAACAGACAUUUCAUCUUGAAAGGGGGGAAAAGGAGUGCUGCAGCCAUGAGUCCAGCGGGGGGCGCUGUCUCACAAGUCGAUUCACUCAACAUUUUCCAGCUGGAAGACGCCUUGAUGAGACGUGAUGCUGUGAAGAAGCGCAUCGACGGCCGCUCAACUCUCAGCCUGCCAGCCGCACGGCGGGUGUCGUCUGCUGUAAUAGGCUUGAGCCACACGUGUGUCGUAAACGUCCAUGUGCAACUGGGGUGGGGGGGUGGGGUGUGUAGUGUGUGUGUGUAGGGGGGCACACGCAGAUGCAAAGUGUGCACGCAAUCAUGCCCACGACUCCCAGGCUUCAGCUUUUGUGAAAACACGCGCAUGCAAUCACACUUGUACGCACGCAGCGACAUAGAACACGCACACGCUCACAAUGGGGGCCGUCCGGUUGUAAUACGCCCCAGUCACGCUACGCUGUGGCUACCGCAAUGUUGAGCUUAUCGCUGGCUCAUAUGGAUGGAUCAUGGUCUUAACUGACCGGACUUAAGAGUUAGACAUGGAAAAUUAAGAUGACCUUAUAUGGGCAUCCAGCUCAGCUCGUGCCACUGAGCUAAUGGGCAGCGCCAUCGGGCAGAGUCACUUGGUCAUGCAAGUCUUGGCUUUCACUUGUACGCAAUUUCUUCUGCUUAUUCGCUUCCAUUUGCAGCAUAAUCCACAUAAAUCCUCCCAAAUGAGGCUCAUUUAUUAUCGCUACAUGCUAUCUGAUGCCACAACCUAUCACUGCAACAAUAUUUAGACUAAAAUAGUUUGUUGAUUCACUUUCAGUGGAUGGUACAUCUAUACUGCUAAAAUAUACCUAUGCAUGUUGGAUUGCAUUUCCCUGCAACCUUUUUGUGCAGCAGCCCUUUUUAUGCAAUUAGAUGCAACAAAGGCAUGGAAGAAGGGUUUUGGCUGAAGGGGAUGAAAAAGAUGGAUGGAUAGAUGGGGAAAAGCAUGUGGGGGAGGAGUGCGGGCGUGACAACACCACCAGUGAAAUGUCACCAUUGCCAUGCUGUGACCCAACAGGGGGAUCAUUUCUAUACUUUAUUGCACCUUCAGGGGCUACGGUGUCUCUUCACUCGACAACAUACAGUUACUUUGGAGUGCAAUAAUUAGCCCCGUGGGGUCAAUUUCUGUCCCUCAUGGUGGAAUUUUUAAACGCCACAAGACUACAGCAUGAGAACUCCAGCAUUUCCUGAAUGAUUCCAUGCAACUAAUUCCUUGAACGCUAUUUCAUACUCGAUAUCACAUGUUGGCGAGUACAGUACGUACAUGUUGUCCCUGCGGGAGCGCUCGUGAUACUUGUGAGUACCCUUGGAAAGGGUUUGGGGCCUUGACAGUCUGAGGUUGAAGACGUAUCGUCUAAAAUGUAUUGUUAAAUGAAACAGUCAGUCAACUAUAUCCGUCCUGCCCGAUUUCCAGUUCAACCAAUCAGAAUCUUGAAGAAAGUUUCUGGAAAAGACACGGUAACAAAAAUGGUGACUUGAAAAAAAAAAAGAUUUAUUUUUAUGAUAGAAGCAAAUAAAUAUAUUGUCGCUGUCUGAUAAAAGUCCUGUAUCUCCAGUUUAUGAUGAUUUUGUUGCAGUUUCUCAUGCAUGUCCAACAGUUGGGUGAAAACCCUGCAUCCCAACUUCAUGAUCAUUUUGCUAUUUUUUUCUCCACGUUUUCUUUAAUUGCUCUUUUUUUUACAUGCAUUAUCAAAAUUGAGCCAUACUGUGACAUCACACAAGGGUAAUAUCACAGUAUUACAACACCGAAAUGACAAAUGGCACAAGAUGAAAUAGAUUUUUAUGUUUGCUUCUUGUGCUAAAGCUGUGUAAUAUAGUACAUUUGUGGUGUGUCUGGUCAAAAGGCAUUUGUGGUGUGACUUUCUAAAAAGCAUUUAAAAACUAAAUACAAUAUUACUGUCUGUGGCUCCUUACAUCCUGGGAUAACGCUUCAUGAAAUCGUUGCAGAACGUGACGGAAAUAUUACCGUUUUGGCCCAUCAAGUUAAAGUUUCACAAGAUAAAAUUUUGUCUGUGUUUCUUAUGCUCUAUCUGGCUAAUAAUAAGCAUUUGUGGUGUAAAUACAAAUAAGAAAAGUGACAUACACAGCCAAAAUCCAAUCAUACAAGGGUAAUGAGCUCUAAAAUGUCAGUUUUCCCUAACCUAAGAUGCCAAAUUGCAUAGGAUCAUACACAAUUUUCAGUGUGAAAUGUGAAAUAUACACAUAAAAUAAAUGCAAUACUGAGAUGUGCCAUUGUCUGUGUGUGUCUGGCACUUUUCUUGGCAUUGAUAUGACAUGUCUGCCUGCAUGCUACGUCUGUUUUAGUGUGUGUGGGAUGCACGAGGGACAUGGCGUUGACACUGCAGCAGUGUUGUCUGUCUCACAAGCUCCUCGUCUUCCCAUUGCAUGCAUACGCACUGUCUGCUACAAAUCUGCUUCCUUCUCCUCAAAUGAUCUCUCUCUACGAAUGCACUCUCUCACUCUCUUUCGCUCUAAAGUGCGUGUGUACAUUUUGUUCUGCAUGCUCCAGACACAAAGACUUUUUCUUGCUGAACUUAGAUUUACUUAUGUGUCCCUUGCCUGAUCCUCAUCCAAGUGCCUCAAUCCCCUUCCAGCGUCUUUAUGAUACCUCCCACGUCCGAGUAACCCCAUGUGGUGGUUUUGUGUGUAUGUGCUACUUUUAUUUUCAUAUUGUGUCUUCUGGAGGUGCAUGGAAGCACCAGACAGCGCCAGCGUGGCUGUCGGGAACACAGAGUUCAGACGACAGCCCCCUCCCUCGCCCGUAUCCUCGCAUCCUCUCACCUCCUUUCCUCACUCUCCACUCCUUUUUCUCACGUUGGAGCCCGAUGAAUAAUUCAAUCUGUGUUGCACUGCAGGUUUUCCCCUUCUCCGCCUCUUUUUCCUAGGCUACAUUUUAUCGUCCUAUGAAAUCCAUCUGGUGAUGCUUUUAUUUGUUUGUCCGAAAAGGAGAAAGGAGAAGCCGAGCUUAUUUGAUCCCGUUUCAUAGUUUGUGUGUCUGAGUCUCUCGCACUGCCCCUCCCUGUUUCGCAUCCGCAUCAUUUCACCCUUCCCCUGGCUCAUUUUUCCUGUAAAUCUCUGAUGACGAUGAUGAGGUGAUAGAAGGAGGGGAACGAGUGAGUCAGCCAAGACCGGUCAGUCGGGAGCAACGUGAUGGCCGCUCCGUAUCCGGGAAACGGACACGUGGAGGUUUUCCAACAGUCACCUGCUCGUCUGAUGUGUGUGUUAUGAAACCCAGAAAGACAUCACCACGCUGUCGUGAGACGUUCCCGCUACUGAUUUAUUGGAUGGACGCGCACCUGAAGGGGAUUUAAUAGGGAUAAUAAAUUGCAUAUGUUUGAUUUAUAGCCAAAAAUAGCUGUGAAAUUCAGAUUCAUUCAGAAAGUCUUCACUUUUCCACAUUUGAUUGUGGACCCCUAAAAAGGCUCAAAAAGCAGACAUUCAGGGGUGCAGGGAGGUAUUUACAUGAGGCUACCCUCCUGAUGUGGCCGUUGCCAUGGCGACCAGGCCCAUGUCUGAGCAUCCCCAUUCUGGAAGCAAGGGAGCGGCUCAGGGCGAUGGGGGAGUGUUUAGUAUGAGCCAAUCACAGGCCACCACACACUUACAGACAGUCACACUGACGGGCUCUUUUAGCUGGGAACUUGAUUUAAACAUACACGCGAACGUAGCAGAUUUGCUUGGAUCAUAAUACACACACGCACACACGAGACAUUUUUAUGCAGCAUAUUUUGGCUAAAGUGAGUCAUGCGGUGCUAAGGUAAAUAAUGCAAAAAUAAUUUUAACGAUUAUUUUUUAUUCCGUUAUAUUAUAAUGUAAAAAUAAAUAUUUGAAUAAUAAUGACUUCUAACAUUACUUCUGAGGAAAGUACAAUGAAAAAAUACAUGACAAUAUCUUGCAAUCUACUAAUUUAAUUUCUACUACUUUACACCCUUCUGCACUCUGUGUGUAUGCUACCGGCCCCGCCUCCGCCCACUGAGAGAAAGAGACUGUAUGACACAAAGGCUCACUCCGUUCAUGCAGUUGUUCGGUGGAACAAACGCGCCAAGGUGCUGAAACCAACGUGCAGAGUGAACCCUCUUCCUUCCUGUUUGGAGGCGAGAGACGAGGAAAACAGACAGCAUUGUAAUAUAUUAAGGUUGGCAAAAUGAUCCAGUUCAUUUUAAUUUAUUGCGUUAUUUUUAAAUUAAUUUAUUAUUGUCCCAGGCUUAGUGCCCACCAGACUUGAGACUUUUCUGAACGAGAAAUCUUUUCGAUAGUUUUAAUCUUCUGAGAUCUUGUGACACAAUAACAUAAUAUAUAUUAAAAAGUAAGACAAAUAUUACUAUUCAUAUGAUUUAAAUCAAUAAAUAAAUACAAUUUGUUGGUAAAUAAACACUACUAAUGAGAAAAAUAACACUCAAAUAUUUUGUGACAAUGCAGUUUAUGUAUUUUUGGAAUGCAUUUGGCUAUUUUGUAAGUGUAGUGAAACAAAACACAGCAUAUAUCUAAAAGGUCAUUUAUGGUUUAGCUUUUUCCUUUGCUGUCCAUAAAGAAAUGAGCUCUGCACAAUUAAAAAUACUCCUGCUCCUACCAGCACUGCUCGUGUACAAAUGGGAUGCAACGCCACCGAUGCAUCGCUGUUGUGUCUUUGUGUCCACAAAAGUAACAUCAGAGCUAUUUCUGUCAUCAACAGAAAUAAACAUUUGGGCUGUCAUUUCCUUUGGAUUCAUGCAAAUUCCCUAAAAAAAGAUGUCUUCUCUGAACUCUUUGCUAUUUAUAGCUUAAAAAGCCUUUCUCCCACUCCCAAACUUGAUUGUCUGUGUGAUGCAUUUAGUCUGCAAAGUGAAGUUACCUUGUCUUUCUUACGCUGUGAGGAUGCUAAUAUUGCUAACAUUGCUUUGCUUCUAUGGUGUCGCUCCAACUUUUAAGGUAGGGAUAUUCACCUGCAGGCCUGCGGGCCAGAUGUGGACAUCAAACACACAUUCCUGUCAUGCGGAGGAUUUUUUACUCGUGUUUUUCUGCAGCACAUCCAUAAAAACAGCAAAGUUCUCCUGUUAUUGAAGGAUCUGUGAGAAGUGUUUUGCAGUAGGUCCUUAAAAACAGCAGAGCACUCCUUUUAUAUAGAGGAUCUUUGAAAAACGUGCUCACAUCUUUAAAAGCAGCAGAGCAGCCCUGACAUGUGGAAAAUCUUUGACUAGCGUUUUUGCGGUAGGGUCUGAAAAACAGCAGGGUGCUCCUGUUGUUGUAUAAAGGAUCUUUGACUGGCGUUUCUGCAGCACGUUCUUAAUAACAGCAGAGCAAUCCUGUCGUGUAGAAAAUCAUUAACUGCUAUUUUUGCAGUUGAUUGGCAAAAUCAGCAGAGCACUCCUGUCAUACAGAGGAUCUUGGCAAGCGUUGUUACAGUAGGUUCUCAAAAACAGCAGAGGGCUCCUAUCACCUGGAGAAUCCUUGACAAGCUUUUGCAGUAUGUCCUUAAAAACAGCAGAGUGCUCCUGUCAUCUUGAGGAUCUUUCGGUCUUUUUUUUUUUUUGCAGUGGGCCCUUUGAAAACAGCAGAACUCUCCUGUCAUUGAAAAUCUUUGAGUGCCGUUUUUGCCAUAGGUUCCCAAAAACAGCAGAGCACUCCAGUUAUGGAGUAAAGGAUUUUUUAAUGAUGUUUUUCUGCAGCACAGUCUUAAAAACUGCAGAGCACUGCUGUUAUAUACAGGGCCUUUGACUAGCGUUUUCGCCAUAGGUUCUCAAAAACAGCAUAGCACUCCAGCUAUAGAGAAUCUUUGGCUAGUAUUUUUCUGCAGCACAUCCUUGAAAACAGCAGAGAACUCCAGUUAUAAAGAGGAUCUUUGAAUAGCGUUUCUCCUUGCAUCCUUAAAAACAGCAGAGUGCUUCUGUCACAUAGAGGAUCUUUGACUUUUGCAGUUGAUUCCCAAAAACAGCAGAGCACUCAUGUCAAGCAUUUUUGCAGUAGGUUCUCAAAAAUAGUAGAGCACCACUGUCAUGUAUAGGAUCUUUGACUAGUAUUUAGGCUCUAGGCUCGCGGGGGUGUGCCUAUCCCAGCUGACUUUGGGGAAGAGGUGGGGUCACCCUGGACUGGUCGCCAGGUCACAUAUAGAGAAUCAACCAUUCACACUGACAUUCAUACCUAUGGACAAUUUAGAGUCACCAAUGACCAAUAACCCGAAGUACCCGGAGAAAACCCAAGCACACACGGGGAGAACAUGCAACCUCCACGCAGAGAUGUCCAGCGGAGCUUCGUACCCACAUCUUGCAGCUCUCCUGACUGUGUGGCCAACAUGCUAACCACUAGGCCACCGUGUGGCCCCAUUUUUGCCAUAGGUUCUCCAAAACAGCAGAGCACUCCAGUUAUAGAGGAUCUUUGACGAGUGUAAACACAUUGCAUAUUACGACACUAUUUAUGACUGUAUCAUCCAUUUGGUGACGUCAGAACGUGACAGAGAAUGACAGAGCCUUGCACUGACAUUAUACACAACAUAAGGAUAAUUGUGAAGGGACAAGUCUGGCCCCACGGUCCUUAGCUUCCUGAAAAUAUGGCCCCCAUCACCAUUUAGUUGACCAGCACUGGCUGCACUGGCUUUUGUGUAACUUUUGUGUAACUUUAUGACAUAACAAUGAAGAAUUAGAAGGUAAAAUAAGAAAACGCGUGUCAGUGUGCUUCUGGGUGGCACCGGGGGCGCAGUUCACAAGUGUGGCCACCGGAGGCUCCCUACAGUCUCCGCAUCAGCCUUGAGGAGGGGCGCGGCUCUGCACCGACUCAGGUCAAUGAGUUCCUUGUAGGGAAGGGAAGAGUGCCAGUGAUGUACACACACACACACACACACACACACACAUACUGUCACUACAUUCAAUAGUCUUAUUAUUAGGCCUUGUAACAUUUUAGAGCCGUGUGUUUGUCCCUGACAUCAUACGCAUGCACACACACCCCUACAGUGCCAUGCAUGUUAUGCACAAUAUGUGCAUAGUAUUUUAUUGUGCAUGUUGGGCGGUAGUAUUGAUUUAAAAGGUUAGUGUGUAGCCUUGUGGGACAGCGAGGCUUGAGUUACAUGUAUAAAGUGCAGGCCUGAGAGAUCCAGGAGCUGCAAGCUAAGCUGAGCUGGCCAGUACCGCACAUGGAGUGGGGGGAAACGAGGUCGGCUUGGCACUCUGUCAAAAUUCUCUCACUCGCUCACCCCGGCCAAGCCUCUGCGUAGGAUACUACAGCACACGCACAGUGUGGGCUCUGCUCUACUGCACCAUUUAAAAAGAAUGGGGGCGUGCAGUGCACACAUUCUCCCAAAAUGAACCUAUAUUCGGCAUGCAAUGGGACGGAAAUAGCGUGCAAAAGAUGUCUCCAGCGUAAUUUGUAUGCAUUUGUGUCGUCUUUUUUUAUGAUUAUCAUGUAUUUUAUUCUUGUUUAGAGCAAUCCUCCACUCCUCAACAUCUAAACAGGACAUGACACUCACUCGUUUGGAAUUCAUCAAGAAAUAAACCUGAUGUUUACACCAGCACGCUACAUGUGAGUGACAUUAAAGCAGUCGUGUUCACCUUGAAAGCAUUCUGCAGCAUUCCCUCUCCCGCCUCCUGGUACAAAAAAAAAAAUCACUUUAUAAUCCCCUCUGAGUCCUCCGUGGUAUUUUAAAAAGACACUAGCCCUUACACGACAUAAGCUGCUUAAUAUGAAUAUAGCGCUUAUUCCUUGCCGUUUGUGUGUUUGCAGCCCGAUACGUGUGCCGUGCACGCAGCUAUUUAUAGGGGCUAACCGGGCUAAUAAAUUAGGUUUGGAAAAAAAAAAUGGCGUGCAUCAGAGGGGAUAGUGGCAAACCGACAGAUUAGCCCCCCCGUGGCUGCUUACGUGUGGAUUAUACAGCACAGCGAGACAGUCAGCUGCUAUGAGGGAGGAAAAGGGAGGUCAAAAGGAGAAGGAAACGGGGAAGAUGCAAAACGAAAGUGAUUUGUGUGUCUGCUCGCAUGUUAACACACCACUUCCUGAUGGAAUAAGAUGAUGGGACUGCACCAUUUACGAUUCUGGGAGGGGUGGAAUGAUCCUUGGUCCAUGGCAUGGUGUAAAUAAUGGAACUGUGCCACUUUUCAUUUUGGGGUAAAGAUGAACCGACAAAAGUGGAAAAAAAAGAAUGAAACACCAUUUGUUAAUUGUUAGUCUGGUUCAUGCAGGACUCCGUAAAAUGACAAGACCGUACCACUUUUUGACUGUGGGGCAGUGGAGAUGGUUUCAUUGCAACUCAAACACGGUAGCAAAAAGAGACUAACAAAAGUGUAGAAAUCCUGGAACUGCUGUGUCUUUGGUGCUGGUCGCUAGUUAACACCUACUUCCUGGUUCAUGGAGAAUUAUUUUGAGUUAUGGGACUGUACCAUUUUUUAUUUUUGGGUAUGACAGUCAGUUAUUGUGCAAAUUGCAAAAAGAAAAUCAAACAAAAGUGACAAAAAUUGUGGCAUUGCUCUGCUGUGCGUGUCUGUUUGCUAGUUAGCUUGCACAGUAAGGUGGUCUCACCUUAGGUUUCUUCCCCGUGUUUGAUCAGGAAAUCUGCAAAUUAAAGUAAAAAUCUGCCAUUUUUACUUAAGAAAAUGUUAAAAGACGAUUGGAAUAUUCCAGAAAAUACAUUUAUAAUACAGUUCAGUGGACAAAUAUUAAUAUUUAUUUUGUUAUUAUUUGUUUUUUAUUUGUCAUCAUGACCUGACCGCACGUCAAUGAUUCCUCUCAUAUUUUUGAUCAGCCGUGCAUCAAAUUUGAAUUAGUUCUUCCUUGCUACAUGCGCCGCCACUCCAUACAGUUAGGUCGAAAAUGGAUGAGCGCUUUUUGUGCAAUGUUGCUAAGCAGCCAAGGAACGAACAGUAACUUGCGAGGUAAUAAAGUGCUCAUCCGGAAGUUGAAGGUGCCUUCCUAGAACAAUCUGGCCCGAGGAGCACAGCGGGAUGAUGUUACAGUAUGGGAACUGUACGCUGUGCUGCCUUUUUGUGAUGACUUCGCUGAAAGGGGCUGAUAAAACCUUUCAAGGCGUCCAUUAAUGUUUUAAUGUUGCGCUGGAAAGACGUGUGCAAGCUCGUCUCUUUGACAGCCUUUCUGAACGCUGAUUUCUUUUGUUUCCUUCCUGGCGAGGCUUGCCCUACGCCCUGACAAGCUAAUAACAGGCAGUCAUGGACACAUCACCAAUAGUCCAUAUUUAUACCUCCAAAUGGGGCUAUUUUCACAGCUGUACAUUUCAUCUGUUGCACAUGCUUUUAGUUCUUGGCAGCGUUGCAUCAAAGUGCCACUAAAACAACACAAGGAAGCGCUAAAGUGUACUUUUGCAAACCAUCGUGUAUUUAAAGGGGGGCCAUCUGUCGGAAAUACUUCCUGUUGCAGGAAGUAGCUUUUUCUACGUACAAGGGUGAUAAACUGAUAGAAACUAUUUGGAAAAGGGCAUGAACUUGUAAUUGGACUUUUCUUUUUUUUUUUUUAAGUAAAAUUAAAAUAAAACGUGUUUUUCCCCUUUUUGUUUGUGCAUUUUCUUUCUAUUUGUAUGCGUGUUACAUCUCAUUUACAUAUUCCUAUGUGAAACUAUCCCAGCCUUUAACAUAUGUGUCUUAAAAUGUUUGACAAAAUGUAAAUCUUCAUCGGGAAAAUGUGAUUUUUACACAUUUUGGCGGGGCAUUUAAUGCAUCUAAUUUAUCUGAAAAUAUCCUAAUCUUUAACAUAUGUAAUAAUAAUAAGAUAUAAUAAGAGUACAAUAAUGCCUUGUUUACAGUAUUUCAGAUAAGUGGUUCUAGACCGGUUUGUGACAUGUGAAGUAGGAUUCCUUAUUUAGAAACUGAAUAUUUUCAUAGUUACAGCAUAGACAACCUGUUUACAACCCUCUAAAUACGGGUUUUAAUAUUAUUAAAGCACUCUAGAUGUGAAAUAACACCCCUAUAGUCACCGUUACAAUCCUAUUACCCGAUAUAGUAGACAUAAUAAGAGAAAAUAAGCCAUUUAAAACAUAAAAAAAGACUUGUAUGCGCGUCUGUUGCUGUAAAUGCGGUCCCGAGGGGACCAGAGUGAGCAGCACACUGGAAAUGAUGUUGAGGGUUUAGAGUUGAGUUAAGAUUGGCGUGAUUCACGGCCGCAACAGUAGUCCGUGUUUUUACGAGGGAUUAUAUUCGGGAUUAUUGUGCCCGUUGUGAGAUAAUUCCUUGUUUGUAUCGCCAAACAUUACAAUAACGUUACUGACACCUCGUGACCAGUGUGGAAGACUACAUUUCAUCAACAUCUUUCAAUGUGUCUUCUGAAUGCCCUGCAUAGGUAUUUUAGUUCAUUUUGCCAUUUUUAUGCUGGACAAUGAUGUAUAUUUUUUGACGAGUAAGUGGCUGUACUCAACCACAAAACAGAACUACUAUUAAUUAAUAAACUGGAGUGAAACCAUGAAAUUCAAAGCGUAAAGUGGCGAGGCACAACUGUAUAUCUUAAAAUAUCUAACCAAAUCUACAUUUUGCGCAUCUUUCUGCAUUUUGGUUGUGCAUUUGCUUUCAAAAUGUUAUGUUUGCAACACAAUGUAAACCUUAGAAAGUAAAAUGUGUUUUUCCGCCUUUUGGUGAUGCAUUUGAUGUCAGUGUGCACUCACGUGCAGAUUUACAUGCAAUUUUACAUUUUUCUGUGUGGAAAAUAUCCAAAAAUUUUUAUUAUUUGUGUCUUAAAUUGUUAACAUUUGGAACAAAAUGUAUAUCAUAGCGGGUGAAAUGUGCUUUUCCGCAUCUUGUUGGGGCAUUUUCUUUCAGUGUGUAUGUAUGUACGUAUGUAUGUACGUAUGUAUGUAUGUACGUAUGUAUGUAUGUACGUAUGUAUGUACGUAUGUAUGUACGUAUGUAUGUAUGUACGUAUGUAUGUACGUAUGUAUGUACGUAUGUAUGUAUGUACGUAUGUACGUAUGUAUGUACGUAUGUAUGUAUGUAUGUACGUAUGUAUGUAUGUACUGUAUGUACGUAUGUAUGUAUGUAGGUAUGUACGUAUGUACUUAUGUAUGUACGUAUGUAUGUAUGUAUGUAUGUAUGUACGUAUGUAUGUAUGUAUGUAUGUAUGUAUAUAUGUAUGUGUGCAGAUUUGCAUUUAAUUUACAUUUUUCUGUGUGGAAAAUAUAAAAUAUAAAAAAUAUCUUAAAAUGUUAAAAUUUACAAUAAAAUGUAAAUCUUACGUAAGUAAAAUGCGUUUUCAGCAUUUGGGAUUUACUUGAUUUGCAUGUACUGGUAUGUGUGUAUGCAGAUGUAUAUCUACUUCAUAAUGUUGUGUGUGUGGAUAAAAUGUUUUUAUUAAUAAUGUAUUCCAUUUGUAUAAAUAUAGGCGUAUUGAUGAAAUACUUAUGAAAUUAUUAUGAGGAACUAUUACAUAAAAUUCAAACAAAAUGUUAAUUUUUCCGUAUUUUGGUGGGCCAUUCGGUGUCAAUAUGUUUAUUUCUAUUUUUCAGUGCGUAAGUAUCAUCAAAUGCAAAACAUGUAAGUCAUGUCAAGUCAAGUCAUGUCAUGUAAAUCAGUGCUGCAGCUAUCCUGCAUUUUUAAGUGUUUUAUUUGACAUGCAAUCUAAAAACGGCGGUACGAUUGCCCUUCAUUGACAUGAGUGAUGUGGAGGAUUAUAAAACUGUUGCAGCAAUAUGUUCACAAACUAGUUAAACAUGGUUGCGGUCGGAAAAAAGCCUCCUUUCAUGCCACCAGUAACAAGUCCAGUCAUUUGUCAUGGCCCAUGUCUCUUCAGGCCACAUCUGUCCGAGUGAAAAAUGUCAAAAUCAAGAGGAUUCAAUGCAGAACCUCCAAAGCGGCCGCUCGCGUUGUGCCGCUUCCCUGUAAUUUACCUUUCCCGUCUUGCAUUCCUGCCACAACACAUGAAAGCUUUGGCCACAGCUGUUCCAAAAUGGAGGGAAAUGAGUCCCAGAUGGCGCUGUGUUGCGUGUUGCCACAUCAGAGAGGACUUUUACUGUCCUGAGUCAUAUCUAGCCGGGGAGGGGGGACCGUUGGGAUGUGGAGAAGGGUGGGCGUGGUCUUCCCUACUGUAUGUCAGGACACACAUUGUGGGAAAUCACGCAGGCUGGCCUCGCCACGUGUGCUGCGUCAUGCGUGCUCAAUACAGCUAUUGAUCAGUCUGCUCCAGCCUGCUCGUAAAUGCAUCGUCAUACUCAUCAUGUGCUGUAGAUUCCACACUUGUGGACGUUCACUUGCGACAAAACAUGAUUUGACAGGGAGUCAUAUGUCAUAUUCACAAAUAUGCAUUCCAUGUCUGCCAUCAUGAAAGAAAAAAACACGUCACAGGUGACAAAGUGUCACGCAGUACGUGACAUGUUGGACCCUUGCUUUGGUUUUUCUGGUCUCAUUUCCUGAUCUGUGCUUUUAUUUUGUUAUUUCUGUUUCCGCAUGACCUUUUUGUUUGUUUUACUGUUUUUGCUUGUGCUCUACGUGUGCCCCGAUUGCAUCUGUGUUCUUUUUCACCACUAUUCCUUGAACUCUUGUUACCUGUGUGUUGCAUUCUGCUGCAUCUUCGUGUGCUGUUUUCUUGUUCCCCGGCAUCAUUCUCCUGCUCGGGCACAUUCCUGUUUCCACCUCCCAUGGUGAGUUUAUGUUAGCCCCAGCUGUGCGCUUUAACCCACUUUGUUAUUUUGCUACUGUUGCCUUUUUAUGUGCCGUUUUGCUGAUCUUUUGUCAAUAGAAUACUUUAUUGGACCUUCCUGUUACCGUGUCUCCACAUCAUGAGUAAUAGUUCAUCAAAUUAUAGCAGAACGUGACACAAAGCAUAUUAUUACCACGAACCCUAUGAGUCACAUCUGUUUAUUUACUUGUAUAAUUGCAUUCUUUUAUUGAUUUAUUGCAUUGUAUUUUGACUCCAACAUUGAUUGUGCUUUUAUAUUCUGGCCUCGUGUGGGGGAAUCUUUGAGUACCGUAAUUUCCGGCCUAUAAGCCGCACCCACGAAAUCUAGAGGAAAAAACUGAUUUGUUCUUAUAUAAGCCACACCGGGUGUGUAAGCCGCACAUAUCCACGUCGUAAAGUGCCGCGCACGAGUCCGUGAGGACCAGUCAGCUCUUUAUUUGACAGGAGUCAUCAUGAAUAAACUCAGGACGAGCUUGUCAACACAUUGGAAAUUGCAGGAAGUCAUUACUCGAUAUAACAGUCUGACUCACGGUGUCACCUUACAAACAAACUUCAAUUUAUCACACAGCAGCUACACUCAAACGUUGUACCUCAGAAAUGAACAUGUGAAAUGUAAAAUGAGAUAUUUAGUGCGCAGAAAGACAUUACACAGAAAGAUUUUUUAAACUUUCCAUACAACAGAACACAUCGUCACUGAGGUGAAACUAACCUGUCUCACGACGUUCUGAUCCCACCUCACGUUCCCCAUCAGUGGGUGAACAAUCCAACGCUUGAUGAAUCCGUGUCAGACUUGAACAGCGACCUAAUUUUGUUAAAACGUUGGCUCUCUCUCUUUCGGUGAGCUGAGUCCUUCAGUCAACCAUCCAUCCAUGUUCCAUUCCGCUUAUCCUCAAAUGCGUUGCCUUAAGUUGAAAGCGGCAUCAUGUCCGUUUCUUUGUGGGUUUUGUAUGACGGAAGCCUGUAUUCAAGCGAACAUUCGAUGCGAACAACGCGCCUACAUUCCGGUACAGUACGUGGCGGUAUGCACCUUUUAAACGUUGGUUGCGACAUGCACAUGGCAAUAUAUUGAGACCGGCAAAAUGAUCGGGUUCGUUGUCAUUUAUUGUGCGAUGAAUUCAUUUAUUUGUUAUCAUCCCAGGCCUAGUGACCCCAAUACAGUUUUGUUGACUUUUUAAUCUUGUGAGAUCUUGUGACAUGAGAUCUUGUGACAUCUCUACUGUUUCGUUUUCAAACUUUUACUCCUGAUAAUUCAUAUUUUUGUAAAAUUACUGCAAUUUUGUAAGGGUCACUAAAUAGCCAGGUGGAUCCAUUAUUUGGGUUUUUUUAACCGUAUGUCCACACGUAACGAUACUACUUUAACAAUACUUCUACUUUCACUACUGAAGUACCGUGACAAAACGUGUCGGCAAUACAAACACAGCUUGAUUGUUCAGCUUGAUGGCAGCACGACCGUCCCGACCGCCAAUCCUUGUUUUCCCAUCAGGAAAAGUAACUUUAUACGACGGUCACACGCGGUGAUGUCAUGCCCGAGAGGAAGCUCAUUUGCAUGUUGCUCAAGGCUGACGCUGUCUUUUAAAGUAAAGAUCCUGUUUGGCGUUUUUUUUUCCUUUCUUUUUUUAUGCUUCAGUCUUCAUUUUGCUUGCCAAAAUGUCCCCACAAAGACAAAUGUCCACACAAUAAAAGGUGGGAUGUCAAGGGUUGAGGCGCAUAAACAGAAAGACAAGCGCACACACAGUGGAGUUUAAAGAAAGAGACGUCUGUGCUGUGCAGACAAAAGCUCCUCUCUCUCUGCAGAAUGGUAAGGAGCUGAGCUUCCGCUUGGAGCUCACUGUGUCAGAGGGGAGAGGAAGGGCAGACGAUGGGUCCAGAAUACGAUAGCAGUGUGUGUGUGUGUGUGUGUGUGUGUGUGUGUGUGUGUGUAGUCUCAUACAAUAAAUAGUGCGUAUUUGGAUAGCAUUGAAUAUACUCGCCUUAAAUAUUUCAAAUUGUGUCUUUCUGCAUUUCUGCAGGGCUUUACCUUCGUGGGUGUGUGCAUACUAACAUUUUAUGCAUUAUUGUGUCUUCAAGUGAAAUUUUGGUGGUAAAUUGAUGUGUAUGUCAUCUCUUUUUCAAAUGUUCUGUGUUUAAUGUCAAUAUAUACAAUGUAAAUAAAUUCAAACAAAACUGAAAUGCUGUGCCAUAAAUGUUAAUCGGGUAAGUCAAAUGUGUUUUCUCACAUUUCCUGUAUGUAAAUACCCUAAGAGUAUUCCAUCUCCUUAACAUUUGUCAUCUUAAGUGCCCCGUUUUAGUCAUAUAUGCUUGUUAAAAUGUCAACAUUUGAAACAAAACUGAAAUAGUGGCAUAAAAAAUGUAAAUCCGAAAUGUGUUGGUUGGGCAGGAAGGACACAGCAUUUAACACGUAUGCGUGUGUGUGCAGAUUUACAAGUAAUUCACAUUUUUCACCGUGAAAAUACACAAAAUCUUUCAUGUUAAAUG
Molecule: RNA transcript, 17648 nt
Organism: Dunckerocampus dactyliophorus (ringed pipefish)
Lineage: Eukaryota; Metazoa; Chordata; Actinopteri; Syngnathiformes; Syngnathidae
Gene: il17rel
Gene name: interleukin 17 receptor E-like
Exons: 20
Source: RefSeq, a predicted model, not a curated record